Molecule: long non-coding RNA, 1357 nt
Organism: Salvia miltiorrhiza (redroot sage)
Lineage: Eukaryota; Viridiplantae; Streptophyta; Magnoliopsida; Lamiales; Lamiaceae
Exons: 4
Source: RefSeq, a predicted model, not a curated record
GUCUCCUUCUCUAAAGUUUCUUCUCUAAAAUUUUAGGAAGUAUCCCUCUCUCUCGCCACUCUAUCUUGAUUCUGGUUCACAGCCGCCAUGAAUCGCCGCCUCCCUCUGGCGCGACGAGGUCAGCGCCUGUUCUUCUUCCUCCUCCUCUCCUUUCCUUUUGUGCCCUAUUUCUUCCCCAAUAACAAAAUCCCCAAUUUCUAGGGUUUUCAGCCUCCCUUUCAUCUCUGAAUUUCGCCCCUCCGGUGAGUCCCGCCAUUGUCGCCGCCUCGCACAGUUGCUCCCUGCCUCAGUUGUAGAAUCAGAUUGGCGGUGGAAAGCCCAAAAUGAGAUGGUUAGGAACUCAAUUUUGUUGCUCUCUCAAUUCUUCCAAUUCCCAGCCCUAAUUUUAUGAACUAUUGAAGUGAAGCACCUGCUGACAUUAAUAAACCUGUAUCUGCACCUGCUGGAAUCAUUGAUUCUUUGGGAGUUUUGAUAGAGAAAUUUGGAACAAGAGCUUGAAAUAUGAAGUUAGACAGCAUAUUGACUCUAUGGAGUUGCCUGCGGGAUUGUGAUCUUGGGUUUGGCUCUUUUAAGCAUACUGGAGAAGAUACAAUAUGUUUGCCAUUAUGAGAAUUGUGGGAAGGUGAUUGUAGAUAUACAACAAGUCCAACAGAUUUGCUGAAGCUGAGAAUAUAUUGAGAAAGAUUCUUCAUAUGAUGGAAUUAUGAAAGGUUUAUCAUCUUCUGUUAUUUUAUUAUUAUCUAUUCUACAUGAUCUUUCAACUUCAUUGUAGCUUGGUGACAUUUUGUACUUAUUAUCUAUCUCUUCCAAUUACUUUGUUGUUUUAACUGGGAAUAUGAACUUAUUUUUUACAUGUGCAUUGACAUUUUCCUUAUUCUGCUGGUUCAAAACUCAUGGUGGUAAGAGUACAUAAAUUGUCUGCUGAUUUGUCCUCUAGAAACACCUAGUCCCUUAAAACCUGAUCGUGUUUAGCCACAUAGGAAUUAGAAUUAGAAGUGCCUCAAUUUGGUGAUCCAUUUUUCACUCUUAUCAGGCACCCCUUAUUUUCCUCAAGUCUAAUUGUAAUUAUAUUUCUUAUUAAUAGAGUGUCACUGACAUGCUAUAGCUGAGCUUGAUAAAGCCAAAAGUCUAUCGAACGAUUCAGAAAGGUUAGCAUGCAUGAGCAUUAUAACGGAACUUAAUCCAAGUCUCCCUUGAUGGAAGAUAAUGGAAAAACCUCUAACCUUUGCAAUAGAUAACGGUAUGAACUUGAUUUUAUGUUUAUUUAUUCUAUCUUAUGGUUCUUAGCUAUUUUUUCCUACUAAUUUGAAAACUCUAUGAAUAUUUGUAUUAGUUUAGCCACUCGUGAUGGUUUGCA